UACGUAGGGGGCAAGCGUUGUCCGGAUUUAUUGGGCGUAAAGAGCGUGUAGGCGGCUAUACAGGUCCGUUGUGAAAACUCGAGGCUCAACCUCGAGACGCCGAUGGAAACCGUAUGGCUAGAGUCCGGAAGAGGAGAGCGGAAUUCCCGGUGUAGCGGUGAAAUGCGUAGAGAUCGGGAAGAACAUCGGUGGCGAAAGCGCUCUACUGGACCGCAACUGACACUCAGGGACGAAAGCUAGGGGAGCGAAUGGG
RNAcentral lists this ribosomal RNA (253 nucleotides) under uncultured bacterium. RNAcentral's name for it is "partial 16S ribosomal RNA". It matches the Rfam family "Bacterial small subunit ribosomal RNA", at positions 524 to 776 of the family's 1533-position model. The record is from RNAcentral.